UUCCAAACCAACAUGUGUGAAACAUAUAUUCUCCACUGGUUGAAUGCAAAUGGAAGCCAGAGGAAAAGGGAACCCUUGACACAGUUUUCAUAUAGAUUGGCCUCCAGGGCAGACAGCAGUUCCAAGAACCAGGAGGUUGUUUGCUGUACUCUCCCUUGUACAGUUAGCUGUCUCUAGUGCCUGAAUGCACUAAUUGUCCUUUGGGUAUGGAUGAGGUAAUGAAGGAAAGGGAUGCUGGGAAGAGAGGCCACAUGAGAAG
This 259-nucleotide long non-coding RNA is filed under the name Homo sapiens (human). RNAcentral's name for it is "non-protein coding DLEU1:25". The record is from RNAcentral. Lineage: Eukaryota; Metazoa; Chordata; Mammalia; Primates; Hominidae.